CAGAAGUCAGGUCGGAUUAAGCCAUAGUACGGAAAAAACUAUGCUACCUGUGAGCCCCGUCCAAGGACGUUAAAAGAAGUCAGGCCACCACAAGUGCCAUAGCUUGAGUAAACUAUGCAGCCUGUAGCUCCACCUGAGAAGGUGUAAAAAAUCUGGGAGGCCACAAACCAUGGAAGCUGUACGCAUGGCGUAGUGGACUAGCGGUUAGAGGAGACCCCUCCCUUACAAAUCGCAGCAACAAUGGGGGCCCAAGGUGAGAUGAAGCUGUAGUCUCACUGAAAGGACUAGAGGUUAG
Molecule: long non-coding RNA, 295 nt
Filed under: dengue virus type 2
Lineage: Riboviria; Orthornavirae; Kitrinoviricota; Flasuviricetes; Amarillovirales; Flaviviridae
Description: Dengue virus type 2 partial sfRNA1
Rfam family: Flavivirus DB element (bases 156-227)
Source: RNAcentral